CAUCGCUCUUUGUAAUAAAAAAAUAAAGAGUCGAACCUGCCCAGUGAAAUUUUUUUAACGGCCGCGGUACUCUGACCGUGCAAAGGUAGCAUAAUCAUUUGCCUUAUAAUUGAAGGCUAGCAUGAAUGGUCUGACGAGAACAGCACUGUCUCCAUUUUAUUUUUUAGAAUUUGACUUUUAGGUGAAGAGGCCUAAAUUAUAUUGAAGGACAAGAAGACCCUGUCGAGCUUUAAAAAUAAAUAGAAACAAUUAUACAGAGUAAAUUUUAAACUAUUAUUUUUUUUGGUUGGGGCGACCAAGGAACAACAAAAGCUUCCUCUUAUUUCCCUUAACUCCUAGGUUCUGAUCCAGUAAAACUGAUCAAAAAAAUUAGUUACCGCAGGGAUAACAGCAUAAUCUCCUUUAAGAGACCAUAUCGAAAAGGGGGGUUGUGACCUCGAUGUUGGACUAGAAUAUCCGGAAGACGCAGAAGUCUUCGAAGGUUGGUCUGUUCGACCAUUAAAAUUCUAC
This 510-nucleotide ribosomal RNA is filed under the name Turritella conspersa. Its description in RNAcentral is "partial large subunit ribosomal RNA". It matches the Rfam family "Bacterial large subunit ribosomal RNA", at positions 1814 to 2599 of the family's 2925-position model. Lineage: Eukaryota; Metazoa; Mollusca; Gastropoda; Turritellidae. The record is from RNAcentral.